AGGGUUUGAUCAUGGCUCAGAACGUACGCUGGCGGCACGCCUAACACAUGCAAGUCGAACGCAGUAGCAAUACUGAGUGGCGAACGGGUGAGUAUAAUGUGGGUAUCUGCCUUUUGGUUUGGAAUAACACGAGGAAACUUGUGCUAAUACCGGAUAAGCCUUCACAGGGAAAGUUUUAACGCCAAAAGAUGAGCCCGCACUUGAUUAGCUAGUUGGUAAGGUAAUGGCUUACCAAGGCUACGAUCAAUAGCUGAUCUGAGAGGAUGAUCAGCCACAUUGGGACUGAGACACGGCCCAAACUCCUACGGGAGGCAGCAGUGGGGAAUCUUGCACAAUGGGGGAAACCCUGAUGCAGCGAUGCCGCGUGAGUGAAGAAGGCCUUUGGGUUGUAAAGCUCUUUCGUCGGGGAAGAAAAUGACUGUACCCGAAUAAGAAGGUCCGGCUAACUUCGUGCCAGCAGCCGCGGUAAUACGAAGGGACCUAGCGUAGUUCGGAAUUACUGGGCUUAAAGAGCUCGUAGGUGGUUAGAAAAGUUAGUGGUGAAAUCCCAAGGCUCAACCUUGGAACUGCCACUAAAACUUUUUAACUAGAGUAUGAUAGAGGAAAGUGGAAUUUCUAGUGUAGAGGUGAAAUUCGUAGAUAUUAGAAAGAACACCGAUUGCGAAGGCAGCUUUCUGGAUCAUUACUGACACUGAGGAGCGAAAGCAUGGGUAGC
This 715-nucleotide ribosomal RNA is filed under the name uncultured bacterium. RNAcentral describes it as "bacterial SSU rRNA". It matches the Rfam family "Bacterial small subunit ribosomal RNA", at positions 8 to 769 of the family's 1533-position model. The record is from RNAcentral.